AUGCUGCUUCCUGUUGGUUCUAUUCAGGAGAUUGACAAGCGGUGCCGUGCUUUCUUUUGGGCUGGCGAUGACCACGUGAAUGGGGGUCAAUGCAAAGCUGCUUGGGCAAACGUCUGUGCCCCCACUAAGAAGGGCGGCCUGGGCUUUAGAUGCCUUCGUACUCAUAAUAUUUGCCUGCUUCUAAAAUCCCUCAGUAAAAUACACCAUCCCGGUCUUGGCUCUUGGGGCUCUUGGCUUGCCUCCACGUAUGGUUGGGAAGGCGGGCACUACAUUGGUGACACUCAUAGACUACACACAAUUGUUUGGAAGGACCUCCUGUCUGGUCUCCCUUUCUUCCGCUCUAUUACCCACGUCAAGAUCGGUAACGGCGUCUCAACCGCGUUUUGGUUGGAUCUAUGGAUCGGCAACGAUACCUUGGCUGCUCGCUUCCCAAGUCUUUUCUCCCAUGUUACAAAACCUAAUGUAUCUGUUGCGUUUGUUCUUUCGGCGGAGGAUCUUCGUCUUUCGUUACAACCACGUCUGACCAUUGCUGCUACUAACGAGCUUCUUUGCCUGCGUACUGUUUUAGCCACAGUUAACUUGAUGCCGCAGGUACCGGAUAACCGUUUAUGCAGGAUCAACGAUAAGCCUCUUUCUGUUGCUUCUGCGUAUGGAGCUGCUUUCUCAUCUCGGCCGGAUGAUUCUCUGAAUUCAUCUGGAGGAAUAACUAUGUGA
This 714-nucleotide ribosomal RNA is filed under the name Triticum aestivum (bread wheat). RNAcentral's name for it is "partial small subunit ribosomal RNA". The record is from RNAcentral. Lineage: Eukaryota; Viridiplantae; Streptophyta; Magnoliopsida; Poales; Poaceae.